GAUGAACGCUGGCGGCGUGCCUAACACAUGCAAGUCGAACGGACAUUUUUGGAAGCUCUUCGGAACUGGAAUCUAAAUGUUAGUGGCGGACGGGUGAGUAACGCGUGAGCAAUCUGCCUUUCAGAGGGGGAUAACAGCCGGAAACGGCUGCUAAUACCGCAUAAUGCAUCGGAUUCGCAUGUUUCUGAUGCCAAAGAUUUUAUCGCUGAAAGAUGAGCUCGCGUCUGAUUAGCUAGUUGGCGGGGUAACGGCCCACCAAACCGACGAUGGAUAGGGGUUCUGAGAGGAAGGUCCCCCACAUUGGUACUGAGACACGGACCAA
RNAcentral lists this ribosomal RNA (322 nucleotides) under uncultured bacterium. Its description in RNAcentral is "bacterial SSU rRNA". It matches the Rfam family "Bacterial small subunit ribosomal RNA", at positions 28 to 334 of the family's 1533-position model. The record is from RNAcentral.